This 1019-nucleotide unclassified non-coding RNA is filed under the name Octolasion tyrtaeum. Its description in RNAcentral is "partial contains 12S ribosomal RNA, tRNA-Val, and 16S ribosomal RNA". The stretch from base 1 to 337 matches the Rfam family "Microsporidia small subunit ribosomal RNA", at positions 823 to 1311 of the family's 1311-position model. Lineage: Eukaryota; Metazoa; Annelida; Clitellata; Crassiclitellata; Lumbricidae. The record is from RNAcentral.
CUCGAUAAUCCACGAACACCUUACCUCCCCUAGAUCUAACAGCUUGUGUACUGCCGUCGUAAGCACACCUCUAAAAGAACAAGUAUGCAAUCAUGACUAGUCUCAUAUACGUCAGGUCAAAGUGCAGCCAAUGGGGAAGGUGAUGAUGGGUUACAACCUAAAUAAAGACACGGAAUAAAGUUCUAAUAGCUUUAUAAAAGUGGACUUGGGUGUAAUAAUGACUAAAUACCAAAAUGAAAUCGAAUCUAAGACAUGCACACAUCGCCCGUCACUCUUGCCUAAAGGCAAGAUAAGUCGUAACAAAGUAGGUGUAACGGAAGUUGCACCUGUCGAAGUAUAGCAUAUAAAAUGCUUUUUACUUACACUAAAAAAAAGACAUUUGUCUACUCCGCUUAUCCCUAAUUAUUCUUAUAAAAAAUGAUUAAUAAAAACACUUCAAUCUCAAUUUUUCCAAUUAAAAAAACUAAAAGUACUAAAAAGGAAACGCCAAUCUUAUAGUAGUGAAUAGCUCACCUACCUUGUGCAUUAUGGUUUUACAAGCACAAAAUUAAAAAUUCUCUCCCGAAUUCUAUGCGAGCUGCUCCCUUAUAGCUAAGAGCCCACUACUAGUUGUAGCACUAACUUUAGAAAAUAGGGUAGCAGGGGCUACAUACCAAACGCGCUAGAAAAUUGCUGGUUAUUAGUAAAAUUUAUACAUUAAAACAUAUAAUUCUAUUAUAUUGUAAGAUUUUAGAGGAUAAGCCCUAAGAUCUUAAGCCAAAUAAUAACCACAAAGAAACUUAUAGGCCUAAAAACAGCCAUUAUAAAUACCUUACCGUAAACACCCACAUAAUAUAUAAGCAACCUGCCCCAAAAAACUAAUAUUUAAGAAAAACAGCAAUCUUAAUAUAAUAUGUAAAAAUAAGUAUUUUUCACCAACUAAUCCAACUCUAAUUAAAUACAAUAGCUUAUAAAGGAACUCGGCAAAUUCUUAUUUCGACUGUUUAACAAAAACAUUGCUUCUUGUCACACCAUAAGAA